RNAcentral lists this ribosomal RNA (341 nucleotides) under uncultured Pseudomonadota bacterium. Its description in RNAcentral is "bacterial SSU rRNA". It matches the Rfam family "Bacterial small subunit ribosomal RNA", at positions 29 to 351 of the family's 1533-position model. The record is from RNAcentral. Lineage: Bacteria; Pseudomonadati; Pseudomonadota.
AACAAACGCUGGCGGCGUGCCUAACACAUGCAAGUCGUACGAGAAAGUCCGCUUCGGUGGAUUAGUAAAGUGGCGCACGGGUGAGUAACGCGUGGAUAAUCUACCCUUUAGCCCGGAAUAACUUACCGAAAGGUGAACUAAUACCGGAUGAUAUCCCGAUUUCCUCGGAUUUUGGGACCAAAGAAGGCCUCUGCUUGCAAGCUUUUACUAAAGGAUGAGUCCGCGUACCAUUAGCUAGUUGGUAGGGUAAUGGCCUACCAAGGUUAUGAUGGUUAGCUGGUCUGAGAGGAUGAUCAGCCACACUGGAACUGAGACACGGUCCAGACUCCUACGGGAGGCUG